Molecule: ribosomal RNA, 799 nt
Filed under: Distoseptispora thailandica
Lineage: Eukaryota; Fungi; Ascomycota; Sordariomycetes; Distoseptisporaceae
Description: partial 28S large subunit ribosomal RNA
Rfam family: Eukaryotic large subunit ribosomal RNA
Source: RNAcentral
CAGUAACGGCGAGUGAAGCGGCAACAGCUCAGAUUUGAAAUCUGGCCCUUACGGGGUCCGAGUUGUAAUCUGUAGAGGAUGCUUUUGGCGACGCGCCUUCCGAGUCCCCUGGAACGGGGCGCCAGAGAGGGUGAGAGCCCCGUAUGGUUGGACGCCGAACCUCUGUAAAGCUCCUUCGACGAGUCGAGUAGUUUGGGAAUGCUGCUCAAAAUGGGAGGUAAAUUUCUUCUAAAGCUAAAUACCGGCCAGAGACCGAUAGCGCACAAGUAGAGUGAUCGAAAGAUGAAAAGCACUUUGAAAAGAGGGUCAAAUAGCACGUGAAAUUGCUGAAAGGGAAGCGCUUGUGACCAGACUUGCGCCCGGUUGAUCAUCCAGCGUUCUCGCUGGUGCACUCUGCCGGGCUCAGGCCAGCAUCGGCUCUCCCAGGGGGAUAAAGGUCGCGGGAACGUAGCUCUCUCCGGGGAGUGUUAUAGCCCGUGGCGGAAUGCCCUUAGGGGGGGCCGAGGCCCGCGUUCGCAAGGAUGCUGGCGUAAUGGUCACCAGCGACCCGUCUUGAAACACGGACCAAGGAGUCAAGCAUUAGGGCGAGUCUUUGGGUGCAAAACCCGCAGGCGCAAUGAAAGUGAACGGAGGUGAGAGCUUCGGCGCAUCAUCGACCGAUCCUGAUGUUCUCGGAUGGAUUUGAGUAAGAGCCUUGCCGCUUGGGCCCGAAAGAUGGUGAACUAUGCCUGAAUAGGGUGAAGCCAGAGGAAACUCUGGUGGAGGCUCGCAGCGGUUCUGACGUGCAAAUCGAUCGUCA